UACGUAGGUGGCAAGCGUUGUCCGGAUUUACUGGGUGUAAAGGGCGUGCAGCCGGGAAGACAAGUCAGAUGUGAAAUCCCGCGGCUCAACCGCGGAACUGCAUUUGAAACUGUUGAUCUUGAGUACUGGAGAGGCAGACGGAAUUCCUAGUGUAGCGGUGAAAUGCGUAGAUAUUAGGAGGAACACCAGUGGCGAAGGCGGUCUGCUGGACAGCAACUGACGGUGAGGCGCGAAAGCGUGGGGAGCAAACAGG
Molecule: ribosomal RNA, 253 nt
Filed under: uncultured bacterium
Lineage: Bacteria
Description: partial 16S ribosomal RNA
Rfam family: Bacterial small subunit ribosomal RNA
Source: RNAcentral